RNAcentral lists this long non-coding RNA (330 nucleotides) under Marmota marmota marmota (Alpine marmot). RNAcentral's name for it is "lncRNA (ENSMMMG00000009562.1)". Lineage: Eukaryota; Metazoa; Chordata; Mammalia; Rodentia; Sciuridae. The record is from RNAcentral.
UCAUACAUUGUUUCUAAGAUGUAGAAAUUGUAUUUCCUCACAAGAGUGGAUCAAGAAACUUGACAUUGGAUAAACCGAAAGAUACAGGAAAAGAAGUUUCAGCAUGGUCUCACAUUGUAUCUCGGGACUCCAGUGAUUCCUGGAAGAAUGAGAAUGCCAUGAAAUGCAAAGAUUUUCUUCCAAUUAAAGCAAGGAGGGAAGCCUGGACAAAAAAAUCAGGUAAUUUUUGCAGUACAAUUUUCUGCAAAGAACUAUAAUGAACAUCUAAGAUGCUAGUGGACUUUACACUCAUUUCUUUUUUAAUAAAAUAUUUUGAGGGAAUUUGGCCCA